Galeopterus variegatus (Sunda flying lemur) is the source of this 354-nucleotide long non-coding RNA. RefSeq lists it as uncharacterized. The record is from RefSeq and is a predicted model, not a curated record. The transcript has 2 exons. Lineage: Eukaryota; Metazoa; Chordata; Mammalia; Dermoptera; Cynocephalidae.
CUGAUUGACGGAAGCCAGCACUUAAACUCCUCUUGCUAUCCAGCUACAUGUAUUACAGACAUUCUGCUCAGCUACAAGCACCCUGAGGUCUCCUUCAGCAUGGAGCAGGCUGGCGUGUAGCAAGAAACAGAGUUUUGUGUACAGCUUGGGAAUGAAAAGGUUGAUUUUUAAACCAACAGUAUCUAGCAGCGUUGCGCCAAAUUGCCAUUGUGUUUGUGCACCUGGAAUAUCAUGGCUCCUCUCCUCACAUUUGGUUCCUCAGUGUGCUGUUCUUUUGGGUUCUGAGGGGGGUUUGCCAUGUUUGCUUGUAUGACCAAGUCACCAAGGAAAUAAACAGGAAAUCCAUGUUCUCCA